RNAcentral lists this ribosomal RNA (467 nucleotides) under uncultured bacterium. RNAcentral describes it as "partial 16S ribosomal RNA". It matches the Rfam family "Bacterial small subunit ribosomal RNA", at positions 28 to 507 of the family's 1533-position model. The record is from RNAcentral.
GACGAACGCUGGCGGCGUGCUUAACACAUGCAAGUCGAACGGAGAGGCCCUGCUUUUGUGGGGUGCUCGAGUGGCGAACGGGUGAGUAACACGUGAGUAACCUGCCCUGGACUUUGGGAUAACUUCAGGAAACUGUGCUAAUACCCGAUUGGUACUGCUGCUUCAUUGUUGGGCUUGGAAAGUUUCGGCGGUUGGGGCUGGACGCGCGGCUUAUCAUCUUGUUGGUGGGGGAGUGGCUUACCAAGGAUUUGACGGGUAGCCGGCCUGAGAGGGUGACCGGCCACAUUGGGACAGAGAUACGGCCCAGACUCCUACGGGAGGCAGCAGUGGGGGAUAGUGCACAAUGGGCGGAAGCCGGAUGGAGCAACGCCGCGUGCGGGAUGACGGCCUUAGGGUUGUAAACCGCUUUCGCCUGUGAAGCAGAGUGAGUGACGGUAAUGUGUAAAGAAGCACCGGCUAACUACGUG